RNAcentral lists this transfer RNA (73 nucleotides) under Ailuropoda melanoleuca (giant panda). It matches the Rfam family "tRNA". Rfam says of the family: Transfer RNA (tRNA) molecules are approximately 80 nucleotides in length. Their secondary structure includes four short double-helical elements and three loops (D, anti-codon, and T loops). The record is from Rfam by way of RNAcentral. Lineage: Eukaryota; Metazoa; Chordata; Mammalia; Carnivora; Ursidae.
GCCUGGCUGGCUCUACCGGUAGAGCAUGCGACUCUUAAUUUCAGGGUUGUGAGUUCAAGCCCCACGCUGGGCA